This 493-nucleotide ribosomal RNA is filed under the name uncultured bacterium. Its description in RNAcentral is "partial 16S ribosomal RNA". It matches the Rfam family "Bacterial small subunit ribosomal RNA", at positions 29 to 523 of the family's 1533-position model. The record is from RNAcentral.
AUUGAACGCUGGCGGCAUGCUUUACACAUGCAAGUCGAACGGUAACAGGUUAAGCUGACGAGUGGCGAACGGGUGAGUAAUGCAUCGGAACGUGCCCGGUCGUGGGGGAUAACACUUCGAAAGAAGUGCUAAUACCGCAUACGAUCUGAGGAUGAAAGCGGGGGACCGUAAGGCCUCGCGCGAUCGGAGCGGCCGAUGUCAGAUUAGGUAGUUGGUGGGGUAAAGGCCCACCAAGCCGACGUUCUGUAGCUGGUCUGAGAGGACGACCAGCCACACUGGGACUGAGACACGGCCCAGACUCCUACGGGAGGCAGCAGUGGGGAAUUUUGGACAAUGGGCGAAAGCCUGAUCCAGCAAUGCCGCGUGUGUGAAGAAGGCCUUCGGGUUGUAGAGCACUUUUGUCCGGAAAGAAAUGGCUCUGGUUAAUACCUGGGGUCGAUGACGGUACCGGAGGAAUAAGGACCGGCUAACUACGUGCCAGCAGCCGCCGCGG